Molecule: ribosomal RNA, 468 nt
Filed under: uncultured bacterium
Lineage: Bacteria
Description: partial 16S ribosomal RNA
Rfam family: Bacterial small subunit ribosomal RNA
Source: RNAcentral
GACGAACGCUGGCGGCGUGCUUAACACAUGCAAGUCGAACGGAAAGGCCCUGCUUUUGUGGGGUGCUCGAGUGGCGAAAGGGUGAGUAACACGUGAGUAACCUGCCCUUGACUUUGGGAUAACUUCAGGAAACUGGGGCUAAUACCGGAUAGGAGCUCCUGCUGCAUGGUGGGGGUUGGAAAGUUUCGGCGGUUGGGGAUGGACUUGCGGCUUAUCAGCUUGUUGGUGGGGUAGUGGCUUACCAAGGCUUUGACGGGUAGCCGGCCUGAGAGGGUGACCGGCCACAUUGGGACUGAGAUACGGCCCAGACUCCUACGGGAGGCAGCAGUGGGGAAUAUUGCACAAUGGGCGGAAGCCUGAUGCAGCAACGCCGCGUGCGGGAUGACGGCCUUCGGGUUGUAAACCGCUUGCGCCUGUGACGAAGCGUGAGUGACGGUAAUGGGUAAAGAAGCACCGGCUAACUACGUG